RNAcentral lists this long non-coding RNA (13176 nucleotides) under Nicotiana tabacum (common tobacco). RNAcentral's name for it is "long non-coding RNA (NTAB_LNC018014)". Lineage: Eukaryota; Viridiplantae; Streptophyta; Magnoliopsida; Solanales; Solanaceae. The record is from RNAcentral.
AGCAUAGAAGACUCAAAUCCAAAGGGGAAGUCCCCCACAUAAAGUUAGGCAAGAUACUUACCUCAAAGACGACAGACCGAUACUCUAAAAUGCAUUUCUCGGGUGAAAGACCUCCGCACAGCUUAAAUCCAACCCAAAAUAACUUCAAAGCACAAUUAAAACACAUAAGAAACUAUUCUGGAUUAUAAAGUUCCGAUCUUUAACAAAUUCUAAAAAUCAGUCCAAAAGUCGACCCUCGGGCCCGCACCUCGGAACCCAACAAAUUUUAUAAAAACUGAAUACUUGUCACGACCCAAACCCCGAUCCGGUCAUGAUGGUGCCUCUCGUGAAGACAAGGCCAGCCAACCAACCCAUCGUCGCCUUUUCAGAAUAGUUAAUAUUAAUAAACAGUUUUAACAUGAUUAAAUAACCACAAAUUAAGCAAAAGAUUUCUUUGUAAAGUGCGGAAUACAACCUAAACAUAGCCCGAUACCGGGGUGUCACAAGUCAUGAGCAUCUAUUAGAGUGUAAAUACAACUACAAGGUCUGAAUUAAACAAAACAUGAACGAUGAACAUAAGGGAGAAAAGCAGUGCUGCGAAUGUUGGCAGCCACCUCGCUAAACUCCGAUAACUAUGCCUCCGAUAAGCCAAAACCCGCUACCGGGUGUAUAAAUACCUGCAUCUGCACACAGGGUGCAGCGAGUAAAGUGAGUACUCCAACUCAGUGAGUAAUAAAGGUAAAUAACAACUGAGCAGUAAGAAUUCACGUAAAGCAACCAAGAUGAUGUAUAGAAGCAGUGUAAAACCCUUUGAGAAAAAUGAAGCUGUGAAAUCUUUAGAAAUAUCUUAGCUCAGUUUAAACCUCUUGUGAAAAUGACUUUUUCAACAAUUACGCAAUGAUUGCAAAAUAGUUAGUGCCAAUAAGCACAGAAAAUCUGCCCCUCGGGCACAAAUACCACAGUAUGACAGGUAAAAUGACAAGUAUCUAUGAAAGAUGAACACAUAAAAGUUUGCCCUUCGGGAAAUAUCUCAGAACAGUACCAGCCCCUCGAGCUACCUCACAAUCACUCUUAUCAGCCCUUCGGGCUCACUCUCAGAACAAUGGGUACCCACGCUCACUGUGGGUCCGCAGACUCCGGAGGGGCCCCUUACGGCCCAAACGCUAUAUCAAGCCACCUCAUGGCAUCAUCUCUCGGCACUCGGCCUCAUAUCACUCGACACUCGGCCUCACAUCACUUAAGCCACCUCGUGGCAUAUAAAUGUAUCUCAGGCCCUCGGCCUGAUAUCACUCAGCAUAUCCUCAUAUAUGGCCCUCGGCCUCACUUAGUCCAAAAAUCAUCACAAGCCCCUCGGGCAUUAGUAAAACAGUAGUUCUCAGCCCAAAACAUCAUUUAAGUUUCAAAUCUGAGUAAAUGUGGCUGAGUUUGUAAAACAGUAGAUAUCAACAGGACUGAGUUCAAGUAAUGAGUCAAAAUAGUGAGGAAAUCCCCGAAGGGUUCAAAUAAUUGGCACGAAGCUCAAAUAUGGCAAUCAACCCAAAUCAUGAUGGUAACAAAUAAGUUUCAGUCAAAUACGCGGUAAAAUCAUCAAUCGGGACGGACCAAGUCACAAUGCUCAGUAGUAAAAAAUCCCACGCUCAUCAUCCAGCGCGUGUCUCACCUCAAUAUAGCACUACGAUAUGCAAUCCGGGGUUUCAAACCCUCAAGAUAUCAUUUACAAUCAUUACUCACCUCGAAUCGACGAAAUCUCUAGCUCGCGAUGCCUUUGACCCUCUAAUCGGCCUCCACGCGUGUCAAAUCUAUCCAAAAUCAGAACGAAUACAUCACAAUAUGCUAAGGGAACAAAGCCCAAGCGAAAACAAUCAAUAACGGGCACAAAUCCCGAAAUUACCAAAACCCGAGCCCCGUGCCCACUUCUUGAAACUCAAAAUAUUUCAUAUCAUUAGAUUCCUUAUCUUCCCACGAGUUCAUACAUACCAAAAGUUCUCAAAUCCGACCCCAAAUGGUCUUUCAAAUCCCAAAUCAAAAGUCCAAUUUCUCAAGCCCUAGUUCUUCAAUUUUAGGCUUAGUUUCCAUGAAUUUCUAGGUGGAUUUCACAAUAAAAACGAGUUUAAGUUCAAAAAUCUUACCUCCAAUCGAUUCCCCUUGAAUCCCUCUUUAAUCUCCACCAAGAAGCUCUCAAAAUGAUCAACCAUGGAGGAAAAAUGACCCAAAAUCGCGGAUGAAGUGACUUAAAUCAUUCUGCUUAGCACUGACCGAUCCUUCAUCGCGAUCACGGCACAAGCCUGGCGAACUUGAAUCACAAACUACCAUGCCCUUAAAUUUAUUCUACGCGAACACGACAUAAUCAAUGCGAGCACGAUACACUGCAAAAUCACUCUAUGCGAUCACAGACAGUACUCCGCGUUCGCGAUGCACAAUAUCCAACCAAGACCUCAGGUACAUCUUACUCUAUGCGAACACGACCUGCCCUUACGCAUUCGCGAUCAACAAAUUUCACCCUACUAUGCGAUCGCGUCUCUAUCUGUGUGAACGUGAAGCACAAUUGAACUGCUCCCUCCAAAGCCUCUAUGCGAUCGCGAUGACAAAAUGCCUGAACUGAAACCUGCAAUUUCUGAAGUCCUCAAAGCAUGAAAUUGAUCCGUUUAACCUCCCGAAACACACCCGAGGCCCUUGGGACCUCAACCAAACCUACCAAAAUAACCCGUAACAUCAUUCAAACUUGUUCCAAUCAUCAAAACACCUUAAACAACAUCAAAUUACCCAAAGCUCAUUGAAUUCAAGCCUAAGUAUUUUAAAAACUUCCGAAAUACACUUUCGAUCAAAACCUCGACCAAACCACGUCCGAAUGAAAUGGAAUUUUGCACACACAUCCCAAAUGACAUAGCGAAGCUACUUCAACUCUCGAAAUUCCAUUCCGACCUCUAUAUAAAUAUCUCACCUAUCAACCGGAAAACGCCGAAAUCUCACUUUCGCCAAUUCAAGCCUAAACCUUCCACGGACUUCCAAAAUGCAUUCUGAUCACGCUCCCAAGCCCCAAAUCACCUAACGGAGCUAACCAAAUCAUAAAAAUUCCGAUCCGAGCUCAUAUACUAAUAAGUCAACCCUUGGUCAAACCUUUCAAAUUUAAAGCUUUCAACAGAGACUGUUCCUUCAAAUUCAUUUCGAUUUUCCUGAAAACCAAAACCAACAAUCUACAUCAGUCAUAACACAUUACACGGGGCAAGUCAUGCCCGAGAACUAGAGAUCAAAGUGCAAAAGCUCAAAAUGACCGGUCGGGUUGUUACAAUACCCAUUUCGAUACGAGUUCAAUAAUACAAAAUUUAUCAAAUUCCGAUACCAUUUGGUCCCUCAAAUCACAAUUUUUCAUUUUAGAGUUUUUCUUAAAAAACCAACUCCUUCCCCAACCCCAAACACAAUUUAAAUGAUGCAAAUAAAGACAAAUUCAUGGAAUAUAUUUAAUUAUAGUUGAAGAACACUUACCCAAUCGAAUUAUGUGAAACACCCACCAAAAAUCGCCAAGAACCGAGCUCUAGAAGUCAAAAUAUGAUGAAAACGGUGAAACUCUCGAUUUUGGGAUAUAUUAUAUCUGCCCAGAUUUCUGUGCAUCGCGAACGCGAAAGGACAAUCGCGUUCGCGAAGAAGGUAAAUUGAAGCUGCUAAGAAAAUCCAUCGCGAACACGAGACAAGGGACGUGAACGCGGAGAGUAAAGAACAGAGGCUUACACGAACGCGGAGGCUGUGACGCGAACGCGAAGAAGAAAUAGCCACUAGCCCUCAGUGCUUAAUUAUAUUAUUUGAAUGCGAGGGAUUGGAUGCGAACAUGAAGAAGGAGAAAGGAAAACCUUCGUGAACGUGAGAGGAUAAGCGCGAACGCAAAGAACAAUAAAUUCCUCCUCUAAGAUUACUGUUCGUGAACACGGAGGAGCAAACGUGAACGCGAAGAAGGAUACCAACUGACAGAUAUCAGCAGUUCAAAAUAGGAGAAAAAUGAUCCGUAGCCCAUCCGAAACACACCAAAGGCUCCCGGGACCCCGUCUAAUCACCCAAACAAAUCAUAUAACCUAACACGGACUUGCUCAAGGUUUUAAAUCACAUAAAACAACACCGAAACAGCGAAUCAAAUCAUAAAUCGAACUUAUGAACUUUUAAAUUUUAAAAUUUCUAAACUCGUGCCGAACCUAUCAAAUCAAUCCGGAAUGACGCUAAAUUUUGCAAACAAGUCCAAAAUGAUAUAACGGAGCUGCUCCAACUCUCGGAAUUACAUUCCGACCCCGAUAUCACAAAAGUCAACUAUGGGUCAAACUUCUCAAUUUUCCAAACUUCAGCUUUUCCAACUAUUGCCGAAAUUCCUCAAUUUAUCCUACGAACCUCCAAAUCUGAAUCCGGAUGAACGCCUAAGCGCAAAAUCACCAUACGAAGCUGUUAGAAUCAUCAAAAAUUUAUUCUGGGGUCGUUUACUCAAAAAUCCCACUCCAAUCAAAUUCUCAUUGUUCAAACUUCCAAAACUAGAUUCCUUCUUUCAAUUGACUCUAAACCAUCCGUUAACUGAAUUCCGCCAUGCAUGCAAGUCGAUACUCAUAUUCUGAACCUGUUCCAGACCUUACACCGCUGAACGAAGCUUAAUUUCUCAAAAUGACUGGUCGGGUCGUUACAUCUUGGUAUGAAAUUCCAUCAUUUCCACACUAGUAUUGAAGAAAUCUACACAUAAAAUACACAGAUCUUCAAGAAAUAUCUUUAAGAACUCAAAAGGAGGGUUUUGCAAGAUUUCUUCUAAAAGAUAAUCCUACACCCUUAGACUUACAUGUAUCUAUUUAUUAUCAGAAUAUGAGUAUGAAUUAAUUAUUGGAACCCUGGUAUGAUGAUUGGAAGCCAUAAAUUCUCAAGUUAAAUGAAUAUUCCUUGUAGAGAUUGAAAAGUAAUUAUUUGAUAGAAUUUUUUUGGUUGUGUGUGAAUGGUUGAUCACAUAUGUGAUGUUGGGUGUAUAGAUUGUUAAAGAAUAAUGGUGAGAUGAAUUAUUGGUAAAUGGUGGUAGUUGAAUGAACUAAAUCUAUGGUUAAGAGGUGUAGUCAAAUGUGCACAUAUAUUGUUCGAUGAAAUGCUUGAAUAAGGUGAACCCACGAAUAUCUUCCUAAUUACGGUUCACUUUUGUUAUGCUUCUAAAUAGAUUGAAGUUUCCGUCCGGCGGUCAAUUCACGUGAGAAUGCUAUUUUGGAAUAUUGGUCUAACUCCAUUAAGGUAAGUAUCUUGCCUAACCUUGUGUGGGAAAAUUUUCCUUAGACGUUGAGUCUUAUGUGGAAAUUGUGUUAUUUGAAACCAUGUAUAUGAGGUGACGAGUACAUACUUGGUUUAUAUGUGCAAAUUAUAAUGGUUAAAAUUUGUGGACACCCUUAUGUAUUAAAUUGACAAUUUUAUGGGACUUACUAUUUCUCUUAUAUGCCAUGCCUCAUUCCUUAUUUGCCGAUGUUUUUUUGAUAUGAUAAUUUGGAGUUAUUGCUACUCAACUUUUAUGUGAACUCUGUGUUUGUUUGAGUUUUCAUUUUUUUUAUGGAAAAUACUUUCAUUCUUGAUUUUUUAUCUAUAGAUAAUUUAAAUGGGAAAUUGUGUUAGUAAGGUGAAUAAAUAUAUUUAUUUCACGAAGUUGUGAUAUUUGAGCACUUGUAGUGCAAUUUGUGAAUGAUGUGAUAAUUGGGCACUUGAAGCGGAAAUCGUGAUAUGUUGUAAUAUUUGAACAUUUGUAGUAUAAAUUGUGAAUGAUGUGAUAAUUGAGCACUUGAGGUAGAAAUCGUGAUAUGUUUUAAUAUUUGAACAUUUGUAGUAUAAUUUGUGAAGAAUUUGGAUCUAGAACCUACAUGCUGAUGCUCACGAUUUCGAUAGCCAUACCAGUGAUUUGGAGGAGAUCUCUCGAAAAGUAUUUAGUGCACAUUUCGGUCAACUCUCCGUUAUCUUUCUUUGGCUGAGCAGCUAUAUUUUUCAUUAGAGAUUACAAUCCGGAGUAAAAUGAAGAUAAUGUAUUGGCAAGAACGUUAGAGCAUAAAGAAACUAUCAUAUCUCAUUUAAGUUGGGUCAGACAGAGUUCGAAAAGGUCAAAUCUUUGAUGAUUCCAUCAUCUUUGAUUGAGUUGCGAAAACUUCUGGAUAGGUAUCCUACAUCUGAACCGGAUUAUUUCUGGUUAAAGAAUCUCUUUCUAGUUGCUCUGGAACUAUUAGGAGUUUCUGUAUUUCUGAUUUAUCCACUGGGUCAGUCUGGUUGGUUCUUUGCACCUAGUUUUGGUGUAGCAGCUGUGAUAAUUGAGUACUUGAGGUGUAACUUGUGAAAUGUUGUGAUAUUUGAACAUUUGUAGCGCCCAUGUACUGGAUUCUUUCCUUGAUAUUGUUGUGUUUUUACUUUGGGACUACGGAUCGAUAUUUCGGGAGAUCCCCCUACACAUUUAUAUUUGGAACUACGAGAAUGCACCUGGGAGAUUCUCCUGUACUGGAUAUUUACUUUAGGACUACAGAUCGAUAUUCCAGGAGAUCCCCCUGCACAUUUAUAUUUGGGACUACGGGAAUGCACCCAGAAGAUUUUCCUGUACUGGAUAUUUACUUUGGGACUACGGAUGGAUAUUCCGGGAGACCCCUCUACACAUUUAUAUUUGGGAUUACGGGAAUGCACCCAAGAGAUUCCCCUGUACUGGAUAUUUACUUAGGGACUACGAAUCGAUAUUCCGGGAGAUCCCCAGCCCAUAUAUUGAGGAUACCAAGAGAUCCUCGGGAUACCAAGAGAUCCCUAGCACAUAUAUUAAGGAUACCAAGAGAUCCUCGGGAUACCAAGAGACCCCCAACACAUAUAUUGAGGAUACUGAGAGAUCCUCGGGAUACCAAGAGAUCCCAGCACAUAUAUUGAGGAUAAUGAGAGAUCCCCAAAUAUUUAUGUUUGGGACUACGGGACGGGAUCCCGGGAGAUCCCCUGUUGAUGUUUUUGAGUACAGAGUGUCUAAACAAAAGAAAAGUACAGAAGGGUGUGAUGAGGGCACAUGAUGCCAAGCGUUAGGGUUCAAGUAUUGAGACCCGUAUUGUAUGAUUAUGAGAUGAGGUUUCACAGGGUGACUUAUAUUCGAAGGUUAUCUAUUUGAAAAGAUUAUACUCGAAGGUACUUAUUUUCAAUUAACUAUUUUGAAAUGUCACCGGGCGACUUUUAUUCGAAAAAUAUUAUUUGAAAGAACUUUUAUUCGAAUUUUUUUUAUUUAUUUGGAAGAAUUAUUUUCGGAAGAUACUUGUUGAGAGAAUUAUAUCUGAAGAUAUCUGAAAUAGCCACCAGCCUGUCAGUGCCUAAUUAUACUAUGCAAACACGAGGGAUUGGAUGCGAACGCGAAGAAGGAGAAAGGAAAACCUUCGCGAAUGAGAGAGGAUAAGCGCGAAUGCGAAGAACAAUACAUUCCUCCUCCAAGAUUACUCUUCGCGAACGUGGAGGAGCAGAUGCGAACGCGAAGAAGGAUACCAGCUGACAGAUAUCAACAGUUCAAAAUAGGAGAAAAAUGAUUCGUAGCCCAUCCGAAACACACCCGAGGCUCCCGGGACCCCGUCUAAUCACACAAACAAGUCAUAUAACCUAACACGGACUCGCUUGAGGUUUCAAAUCACAUAAAACAACACCGAAACAAUGAAUCAAACCAUAAAUCGAACUUAUGAACUUUCAAAUCUUCAAAUUUCUAAACUCGUUUCGAAACCUAUCAAAUCAAUCUGGAAUGACGCCAAAUUUUGCAGACAAGUCCAAAAUGACAUAACGGAGCUGCUCCAACUCUUGGAAUCGUAUUCCGACCCCGAUAUCACAAAAGUCAACUAUGGGUCAAACUUCUCCAUUUUCCAAACUUCAACUUUUCCAACUUUUGCCGAAAUGCCUCAAUUUACCCUACAGACCUCCAAAUCCGAAUCCGGACGCGCGCCUAAGCCAAAAAUCACCUUACGAAGCUAUUGGAAUCAUCAAAAAUUCAUUCCGGUUCCGUUUACUCAAAAAUCCCACUCCGGUCAAAUUCUCACCGUUCAAACUUCCAUAACUAGAUUCCUUUUUCCAAUUGACGCUGAACCAUCCGUUAACUAAAUUCCACCAUGCACGCAAGUCGAUACUCAUAUUCUGAAGCUGUUCCAUACCUUGCGCUGCUGAACGGAGCUUAAUUUCUCAAAACAACUGGCCGGGUCGUUACAUCCUUCCCUUCUUAAAACCAACGUUCAUCCUCAAAAGUGCUAAGAUUCGCCUCGAAGUCCUCAAGUCACUGAAUGCACACUUCCAACAUACACCCGCGGGUGAUCCCACGUUACCCCAAUCCAUAUAAGCCUGGCGACACUAUCUCAACUGAAAUUUAGCCUUUCUAGCAAUACCAAUAAACCUUAGAACCAGAAUUCUCACCUCCCAUCCAUUUCCAAAAGACCCGAUUCUAAAUCCAUACCUUGUAUCAGUCUCAACCAGCUACACCAAUUCAUGCCAACGCCCAUAUAGUACAACCUUACAACCCAACACAUCACAUAUAGGCCCACAGUAAUAUUUUUGAUCACAAUAUUCGCCCGAAAUCAAAUUUAGCACCGACCAUAAGCCUCAUAUUCAAUAGGAACCCGUUUCAAACCUCCACAACAAUGGCAAUGAUACAAUAACCACGAAAACCACAUAACUAAACACCCAAAUCACCAAAUCUCAGCUAAUACCAACGGGCACACACCCCACAAGCUAAAACUCAAGAAACACAGAACGAAAAGGACUAAAUAUGGGAAGGGAAACACAUAAGGGAACUAUCAAACAAGCCCGACAGGCACAAAUUUUCUAUCAACACUAAUCUACAAACAAUCUAAUGAGAAAGAAUUAAAGCAUAUAAAUGAAUCACAAGGAUCUAAUACUGAUAUAACUCUUACCGCAGUACACAACCCGGUCUCAACAUAUCAAAUCACAUGAAAUCACAAGGGUCCCGCCCUCAACUCUGAAUCACAAGUAGGGUACACAUCAAACCACCUAGAAACUCUCACUAGAUCAAUUCCGUCAACAAAAUUACAACACGUACUGGCUCCCACACCGGUGGAGCAUAAAAAUCACAGCUCGUAACCAAGAAUACUCAGAAAUCACAUCAAACCUAGCGAAAUGGACAACAUGAAUUUACUACUAGUCUCAUAACUCUCAACAAUGACUAGGAACAAACGAUAGACACAACUAUCACUCAUAGAACCUCACAUCAGGGAAAUCACAUAAAUAGAGUGCAAAUCAUGAAAAGCACCCAUAAGUGGAGCAACAAAUAGGGGAACUCGCCGGAUAAGCAGAACUGUAAUGAACUACGUAUGGUGCUCCUUUAUAACAAAUCGAAAGCAUACCUGAAUGACAUCACCUGGAAUAACGGCCUUAAGACCACUAAAUGAAAACAUCAACGGGUUGGGCCUCCCCCUCUUAGGUGCCCUCUACUCACCUGAAUACCUCAUUGUGGCACCCUCUGCCCGAAAUCUGGGGAAAUCCCUCACCAAGGCUAGUAUCUCCACACUCAAGCAACCCCCAUACUGACGUGGCUGUGGAAACUGUGUGGUACGAACACUCUAAAACCCAUGAACACCUGAAUCAUCGUGCAAAACCUGAAGCUCAAACUGAACUAGAUGACCCACAAAACCUCUACUAUGUCGCACCCUGCCUCCAAAAUAAGGACCAGCUGAUCUCUCCGGUAUACGAGGUCUCCUCACUUACCUAAACCCUCUCUCCUGAUCUUAUCUGUCCUCUCGCUCUCAGUCUCACAUGGCCUAUAGCCGGCGAGCGAUCCCUACCACCUGCUGAAACAAAAUAUCUGACUCCAACCCUCGAGCCAUACUGAACCGAAUAUCAUGACUGAGUCCCUUAAUGAAUCUACAAACUCUCUCUCUCUCUCUCUAACUGCAGCGACCAAGGCGAGUGCAUGUCUGGUCAAAUCACUAAAUCUGGCAGCAUACUCUAAUACUGACAUAGUGCCCUGAUGCAACUGCUCAAACUCCGUGCGUCAUGAAUCCCGAAGUGACUAAGGUACAAACUUCCUCAAAACAUCUCUGAAACUGAACCCAUGUACGUGAAACUGUAUCGGCCGGCUACUCAACUUAUAUACCCGCCAUAUCUGAUAAGCCGUUCCCUGAAGCUGGAAUGUAGUAAUAGCAACCCCACUCGUCACAAUAGUACCUAUAGUACGGAGAAUACGAUGGCACUCCUCAAUAAACCUCGUGCGCUCCCUGAAGCCCAACCACUAAAUAUAAGAGGGUCGUAUUAUCUUGAACCUUGCAAAUCUAAGAUGUCCUUCCUCGGAUGCUACUGCCCUAGCCACUGGAUGAACUGGGACCGCAAGAUGUGUCGCCAUGACACCUGCAACAUGACUAACAUGAGAUUGCUACUCUGGAGGUGCUCUAGAUGUGGCACGUACUCCUCGUCGGCCUCUACCUCUGCCUCUGGCGACACCUGCUUCGAGAGCAGUGUCAUCGAUAACCACAGCUCGUGUCCUCACCGUCGGUGAGAGAAUGGAAGGAUAAAAGUUCAAACUUCAAUAUCAAUAAGCUCGCACGAUAGAAAUGAAAGAAGUGAUAUUGUCCUAAUAGUUCCGUAACCUCUCGAAGAUAAGUACAGACGUCUCCGUACCGAUCCGCAAGACUCUACUAAACUCUCUUAUAACUCGUAGCACCUAUGAACCUAGAGCUCUGAUACCAACCUGUCAUGACCCAAUUUUCCCUCCGUUGGGUUUCAUGAUGGCACCUAGUCUUAAGGACUAGGUAAGCCUACUAAAAUGUGGAAUAACCAUAAUAACUAAUAACAACUCGAAUUCUCCUGAGAUGAAUCAUUUAUACAAAGAACAAUUUCCCAAAACCCGGCAGUACAAGUCAUAAGCUCUACAGAGUUUUGCUAUAAUUUCUAAAGAAAAUGUAUGGAAAUAAGUACAACAAUGUGAAAAUAAAAUAGGAAGGUGAUUCCGAAGCCUGUGAACGCAACAACAGGACUACCUUGAGUCUCCUCGGCAAGAAUCCACACCGCUACUAACGAACAAUACCUGGAUCUGCAUAAAACAAAUGUGCAGAAGUGUAGUAUGAGCACACCACGAUGGUGCCCAGUAGUAUCAAGACUAACCUCGGUGGGGUAGUGGCAAGAAAUAGUCCAGACACCUACUGGUCUAAUAAGCAGAAAAAGUAUAAGUAUAAAAAAGAACCAAACAUGAUAUCUACAUAAAGACUAAGCGAUAUUUCUAAAAAUACAGGAAAAUACAAUAAGUAAAGGAAAACAACAAGUAUAGUGGAAAAACCAUAACAAAACUCGUAUAAGUGAACAAAGAAAAUACAACCCAACUCGGAUCACAAUUACAGUAUAGGCAAAUCAUAACUCUGCAACUACAACAACCCUCACCUUGAGUCUUUACCAGCAAGUAUCAAUCAAAUAAUCAAACUCUUUUUAAGUGAUAAAAAUUUGUUUGAAUUAUACUUCCUACAAUUAAGUGUCCUUUUCAAAAAGGGUUUUCUUUCAAAAUAAUGCUUCAAUUAUAAUCUUUACUAAAAAGAAAAUCCUCCAAAUAUAAAUCACCAUGUGACACCUCAUCUCAUAAUCAUGCAAUACAGAUCUCAAUACCUGAACCCUAACACUUGGCAUCCUGUGCCCUCAUGACCCCUCAUUAUCAUACUGAUAACUCACGUGCCCAAAGAGUCAUUCUCACAUGGAAGGAAAUAAACAAGGGGUGCGUCUAUACUCAAAAAUCCCAAAGAGCCUCCUACUCGACAAGGGUGAUUAACCACGUGUAUGCCUGUGCAAGUGUCCUAACAUAAUUCGCACCAACUAGUAAGUAUAAAGAAUGGAACGGACAACACCCGUAAUGUUUGCACACGGAUAGAACCAAUGAAAACAUCAGCUCAGAACACAAUGAUUUUAAUAGGGGAUCUCUCAAGAUAUCGUCCCGUAGUCCCAAACGUAAAUUUGUGUGCUAGGGAUCUCUUGGUAUCCCAAGGACCUCUUGGUAUCCAUAAUAUGUGCACUAGGGAUCUCUUGGUAUCCCGAGGAUCUCCUAGUAUCCUCAGUAUAUGUACUAGGGAUCUCUUGGUAUCCCAAGGAUCUCCUGGUAUCCUCAAUAUAUGUACUAGGGAUCUCUUGGUAUCCUGAGAGUCUCUUGUCAUCCUCAAUAUAUGUACUAGGGAUCUCUUGGUAUCUCGAGGAUCUCCUAGUAUCCUCAAUCUAUGUGCUGGGGAUCUCUUGGUAUCCCAAGGAUCUCUUGGUAUCCUCAAUCUAUGUGAUGGGGAUCACUUGGUAUCCCGAGGAUCUCUUGGUAUCCUCAAUAUAUAUGCUGGGGAUCUCUUAGUAUCCCGCACUUCAUCCCAAAUCAAUAUAUAUAUGUACAUGUGCACGGCAUCACCCUUCGUGCCUUAUCACUAUUCCUUACCUAAAUAGUGAAAACAACAACAUCCCGGCAAGGGAGUCAACAAUAGAAAACAAUAACAUCCCGAUAAUGGAGUCAACAACAGAAAAAAUAACGUCCCGGCAAGGGAACAACAAUAGAAACUAUAACGUUCCGGCAAGGGAGUCAGCAACAGAAACAAUAACGUCACAACAAGGGAGUCAACAAUAGAAACAAUAAUCUCGGCAAGGGAAUCAACAAUACAUAAUAAGGAUCACGAAAAAACCAAGAAACACGAUAAACUUAACAAAAUAACAAGACAUAAUAAACACGUGAUAGCUACACCGGUAACCACAACAAUUGGACAUGGAACAUAUUUGCACGAAGUAAUAGAGGAACUUACAAUCAAGGAGUAUCAAAACAAUAAGGAAGGCAAUUACUUCAAUUAAGGCAAUUAAGGGUCAACGUAACAUGUAGAAUUAGAUGAAAGUUGAUAAUAUCAUAUGGAGCAUAUAGGGGCAAUUUAAGCAAUUAGGAAAACCAAUUAUAACGGACUACUUUCCACAUAAUGAACAUAAGGUCCUAAGAAUCCUAGAGCAAAUUCCCACAAAUAACUCUGAGCACACACUCGCCACCUCGCAUGCACGGACUACAUUUAGCAUAGAAGACUCAAAUCCAAAGGGGAAGUCCCCCACACAAGGUUAGGCAAGAUACUUACCUCAAAGACGACAGACCGAUACUCUAAAAUGCAUUUCUCGGGUGAAAGACCUCCAGACAGCUCAAAUCCAACCCAAAAUAACUUCAAAGCACAAUUAAAACACAUAAGAAACUAUUCUGGAUUAUAAAGUUCCAAUCUUUAACAA